This 253-nucleotide ribosomal RNA is filed under the name uncultured bacterium. RNAcentral's name for it is "partial 16S ribosomal RNA". It matches the Rfam family "Bacterial small subunit ribosomal RNA", at positions 524 to 776 of the family's 1533-position model. The record is from RNAcentral.
UACGGAGGGUGCAAGCGUUAUCCGGAUUCACUGGGUUUAAGGGGUGCGUAGGCGGGCAGGUAAGUCCGUGGUGAAAUCUCUGAGCUUAACUCAGAAACUGCCAUGGAUACUAUUUGUCUUGAAUAUUGUGGAGGUAAGCGGAAUAUGUCAUGUAGCGGUGAAAUGCUUAGAUAUGACAUAGAACACCAAUUGCGAAGGCAGCUUACUACACAGUUAUUGACGCUGAGGCACGAAAGCGUGGGGAUCAAACAGG